GAGCGUUGAAUCGGCUGUAGUCGUUGAAGGUAUUGUGGAGAUGUCGAAUGUUGUUUGUGAUUUUAACCGAGCAAGCUGGAAUAGUAACCAGCGUACUGCGUUAACAGUGUUCGGGCCAGGGUCGGGUGAAGGGAGCUAACUUCUAGCCAUGAUACAUGGGUUCGAUCCUGACUGCACAAACUUUUGUUUUAAAUACCGUUGUGAAAGUGUUCGAGUCUACUUGCAUAGCAGAAGCCCUAAGUGAAGGAACAGUUCAUGUGCAGUGUUCAAAGUAAAUCCUCGAUCAGCAGAUCCCUUAGCUGGUGAAUUUGUGAAUGAAGACAUGGAAUUAGCAGCUUCAGCAUAACUCCUGGUGGAUUUCUGAUGAGGGGCCACUUCAGUUGUGUCAGCAGUUCCUGUGGACCAGUUCUGCAAGACCAUGUUGCCUGAGGCUGGCCUAAUUUCAAAGGACAGCGAUCAUCUGUUUACUGUAAUGUAUUAAUUUGAUAUUUAAGUAACGUAUUGUCACUUAAGAUGAGUGAGCCUCAUUAACUUAAUGAAAUAUGCACAGUUGAGAUUUUAUGGGGUCUGUGUAGAUCCCAUUAAGACAGUCUUCAAGUGGAUGCAGAGCACCUCAUAUUUAUCACUGUUUAAUACCGUAGUAGAAACUAAUGCACUAUCAUGUGAGAUGAGUCUUUGGGAGAACCAGUGAAGAAUAUGUUUUCACUGGCAUCUCAUUCCUUUGGGAGCAUGAAGUCUUCCCAAAGGCAGCACACUUGUAUGUGGAAAUCCCGGCAUCGGUGUAGAAUGCAUAGUCAUUCUCAACUGGAGACAACUCAGAUGGCCCACAGCACCUAAGAAAUUUCUGUUUAUCGUAGAACUCCUUGAAACAAUGAAUGGUGAUAUAUGCCAUGGCCAGUGGUAGGAAGAAGGUUAGUCAGAGUAUAUAAAUAAUUAUUGUCACAUGUUAGUGACUAUACAACAAGUUUGGAUUGGAAAUGAAUUUAUUUGGCACUGAUUCCUGUAUCUGCAAGUGAUUGUACAAUAGUUUAUAAGAAUUCAUAAUUGUUCACUAUCUUUUGGACUGUUUUUGCUUGUAUCCUUGGUACUGUGUCGUCAUGGUCUCAUCACUGGGAUGCAGGCUCAUCUCAUAUCGCCUUGUUGUGGAUCAGGUAGUCAAAGCUGGGCUUACGAGUAGUAAAAUAUUUCUGUUAUGGAGGGGUCUACUGCUUGUGAUGUGUCUUGCUGUGACGUUUCCUAGUAAUUGAUGCCUCUUUGAUAUUCCUGUGAAGAUUCUGAAUUUUGGUCAUGGUAUCACUAUAUUAAUGAAGAAAAUCAGUAGAUGGUAGAAUAGCAUAGCUUAAUCGGCAGAUACAAAAUUUAUAACUGGGAGGAAGAGUUAUCCAGUAUAGGGGAAUGGAAAGUCAAAUCCAUGAAUGAAGUUUUUCUGUAAGUUGAGAUGUAUGCACAGAUCAGUAACUGGUCUAAUGACGAUAAAGUCAAUAUAUUACAGGCUAAGCUGUGUGGUGAUGCUUUACAGCUUGUGGGAUGACAAGAAGACUUUAGUGACCUAUGAGACAUUUUAAAAAUAACAAAACUAGCAGGAAGGUUUAGUGGGAAGCUACCCGCUCGGUACCGAGGCAGAUGUAUGACUGGCAAGUGGAGGGUUUGGAAGAGGUACCUAGAAAAAACAGUUCAGUAAUGUUUCAGCUGCAUGAAUGUAAAGGGGAUACACACAGUGACUCAUUGCUAUACAGGAAGCUAUAAUUGGUAAACUACAUGGCUCUUAAGUGCCUCACAAUUUUACGCCAUGUGCAAAUCGUGGACCGGUGUGCACCUUGGUGCCAGUGGUGAGGAGAACCUUAUUUUACAGGUGCUGGAAUAUCUUCAGAUGGGUGUCUGCCCAAAAUGUCCAGACAGGACUAACAUAAGACAUUAUGGAUCAUAAGAACUUUGUGGAGGGUCAGUCUAAUGUUAGCCCUCAAUCGCUAUCUUCUGAAUAGGGAAUAUACUCCAGUGAAUGUUCUGAAGGCCUU
Molecule: long non-coding RNA, 2015 nt
Organism: Cryptotermes secundus
Lineage: Eukaryota; Metazoa; Arthropoda; Insecta; Blattodea; Kalotermitidae
Exons: 2
Source: RefSeq, a predicted model, not a curated record